Molecule: unclassified non-coding RNA, 344 nt
Filed under: rhizosphere metagenome
Description: partial ribosomal RNA internal transcribed spacer region
Source: RNAcentral
ACGUGAUACUCACGUAUUAACUCACCGAGAACUGUUAUUUUCCCCUGUUGUAGAACAUAGGUGAUUUGGGAGCGGAAUGGUGCGAGGUACCGAAAGGUAUGCUCUUCAUCCCUUAUCUAGGAUAGUUCGACUAUCAGCCCAUGCCUACAAACAGAAGAUGAAUUGCGGCUGCCUAUUAAGCCUGCGCCUUGGCUUGCAGUCCGUGGUGACCUUAUUAACCCCUUUACUAUUUAUUUCUGAUGUGUAUGUUUAUAUGGAUUCCUGACUUAACCGUCGGUCGAGUUUAUAUAAAUGUCGUAUAUUACUAAUACGAAACAACUCUUAGCAACGGAUAUCUUGGUUCU